UAUAAAGCGGUAAGCUGGCCGGCAGGCCUAAACAUGCAAGUCGAACGGACCCUUCGGGGUUAGUGGCGGACGGGUGAGUAACACGUGGGAACGUGCCUUUAGGUUCGGAAUAGCUCCUGGAAACGGGUGGUAAUGCCGAAUGUGCCCUUCGGGGGAAAGAUUUAUCGCCUUUAGGGCGGCCCGCGUCUGAUUAGCUAGUUGGUGAGGUAACGGCUCACCAAGGCGACGAUCAGUAGCUGGUCUGAGAGGAUGACCAGCCACACUGGGACUGAGACACGGCCCAGACUCCUACGGGAGGCAGCAGUGGGGAAUCUUGCGCAAUGGGCGAAAGCCUGACGCAGCCAUGCCGCGUGAAUGUUGAAGGUCUUAGGAUUGUAAAAUUCUUUCACCGGAGACGAUAAUGACGGUACCCGGAGAAGAAGCCCCGGCUAACUUCGUGCCAGCAGCCGCGGUAAUACGAGGGGGGCUAGCGUUGCUCGGAAUUACUGGGCGUAAAGGGCGCGUAGGCGGAUCGUUAAGUCAGAGGUGAAAUCCCAGGGCUCAACCCUGGAACUGCCUUUGAUACUGGCGAUCUUGAGUAUGAGAGAGGUAUGUGGAACUCCGAGUGUAGAGGUGAAAUUCGUAGAUAUUCGGAAGAACACCAGUGGCGAAGGCGACAUACUGGCUCAUUACUGACGCUGAGGCGCGAAAGCGUGGGGAGCAAACAGGAUUAGAUACCCUGAUAGUCCACGCCGUAAACGAUGAUUGCUAGUUGUCGGGCUGCAUGCAGUUCGGUGACGCAGCUAACGCAUUAAGCAAUCCGCCUGGG
RNAcentral lists this ribosomal RNA (808 nucleotides) under uncultured bacterium. Its description in RNAcentral is "bacterial SSU rRNA". It matches the Rfam family "Bacterial small subunit ribosomal RNA", at positions 23 to 877 of the family's 1533-position model. The record is from RNAcentral.